CCUGAGAUCCAUGUCAUGAAAGUCUGAUAACUAAAUAGAAAGAAAUUUAAUAUCAACAAACUAAAUUAAAAAAAAAAUUAUUAAAAGAAAAAAAACAAAAAGAAAUUGAGGGGUCAACCCAGAAUUAACUGGGUUAACCCGUGAAAUCAGGUUAAUCCAUCAAACCUGGGAUAUGUGUCAUGAAAGUAUGAUAAUUAAAUAGAAAGAAAUUUAACAUUAACAAACUAAAGUAAACGAACAAAAUUAAUUAAAAACAAAAAAAACAAAAAAAAAAUUUCGGGUUAACUCGUCAAAUCAGGUUAACCUGUUAAACCCGGGAUCCGUGUCAUGAAAGUCGGAUAACUAAAUAAAAACAAUUAACAUCAACAAACUAAAUUAAACAAAAAAAAUUAUUAAAAGAAAAAAAAACAAAGAAAGAAAGAAGCGAAAAAAAAACCCAAAAGGCAUAAAAAACGAAAAAAACAGCUAAAAAAAACAAAAAAAAAGACAGCUCAGCAAAAAAA
Molecule: long non-coding RNA, 503 nt
Filed under: Populus trichocarpa (black cottonwood)
Lineage: Eukaryota; Viridiplantae; Streptophyta; Magnoliopsida; Malpighiales; Salicaceae
Description: long non-coding RNA (PTRI_LNC004724)
Source: RNAcentral